GAUGAAGAACGUAGCGAAAUGCGAUAAGUAGUGUGAAUUGCAGAAUUCAGUGAAUCAUCGAAUCUUUGAACGCACAUUGCGCCCCUCGGUAUUCCGUGGGGCAUGCCUGUUCGAGCGUCAUUUACCCCCUCAAGCUCAGCUUGGUGUUGGGCCCCGCCGCCCCGGCGGGCCCUAAAGUCAGUGGCGGUGCCGUCCGGCUCCGAGCGUAGUAAUUCUUCUCGCUCUGGAGGUCCGGUCGUGUGCUCGCCAGCAACCCCCAAUUUUUUUCAGGUUGACCUCGGAUCAGGUAGGGAUACCCGCUGAACUUAAGCAUAUCAAUAAGCGGAGGA
This 329-nucleotide unclassified non-coding RNA is filed under the name soil metagenome. RNAcentral's name for it is "partial contains 5.8S ribosomal RNA, internal transcribed spacer 2, and large subunit ribosomal RNA". The stretch from base 1 to 120 matches the Rfam family "5.8S ribosomal RNA", at positions 35 to 154 of the family's 154-position model. The record is from RNAcentral.